RNAcentral lists this ribosomal RNA (258 nucleotides) under uncultured bacterium. RNAcentral's name for it is "partial 16S ribosomal RNA". It matches the Rfam family "Bacterial small subunit ribosomal RNA", at positions 1246 to 1500 of the family's 1533-position model. The record is from RNAcentral.
AAGGCAAAACAAGCGAUGUGGAGGCAAACCCCUAAAAACCGUUACUCNGUUCAGAUUGCAGGCUGCAACCCGCCCUGCAUGAAGUCGGAAUUGCUAGUAAUCGCGGAUCAGCAUGCCGCGGUGAAUACGUUCCCGGGCCUUGUACACACCGCCCGUCACACCAUGGGAGCCGGUAAUACCCGAAGUCAGUAGUCCAACCUCGUGAGGACGCUGCCGAAGGUAGGAUUGGCGACUGGGGUGAAGUCGUAACAAGGUAAC